Molecule: unclassified non-coding RNA, 296 nt
Filed under: uncultured Glomerales
Lineage: Eukaryota; Fungi; Glomeromycota; Glomeromycetes; Glomerales; Glomeraceae
Description: sequence contains 5.8S rRNA gene, ITS2, 28S rRNA gene
Source: RNAcentral
AACGCAAAUUGCACUCCCUGGCAUUCCGGGGAGUAUGCCUGUUUGAGGGUCAGUUUAAAUAAAUAUCGUGGUGUUGCUUUUUGUGACGCUUCGGAAUUGGGUUAUCUUGAUCUUCUGGGUUAAGCGGCCUAAAAUUGAAGUAUCUCUGUGCAUCUUGGACGUACAUAAGAAUUUUUUCCUAUCCGUCAGGGUUGCCAGGUUCUUAUUAGGUAUGAUCACUUUGUUUGUGAAAUCUGUACCUAUAACGUAACUCAUAUUUUGACCUCAAAUCAGGUAGGAAUACCCGCUGAACUUAA